GAUGAACGCUGGCGGCGUGCCUAAUACAUGCAAGUCGAACGGUAAGGCCCUUCGGGGUACACGAGUGGCGAACGGGCGAGUAACACGUGGGUGAUCUGCCCUGCAUUUCGGGAUAAGCCUGGGAAACUGGGUCUAAUACCGGAUAGGACCACUGCCUGCAUGGGUGGUGGUGGAAAGCUUUUGCGGUGUGGGAUGGGCCCGCGGCCUAUCAGCUUGUUGGUGGGGUGAUGGCCUACCAAGGCGACGACGGGUAGCCGGCCUGAGAGGGUGACCGGCCACACUGGGACUGAGAUACGGCCCAGACUCCUACGGGAGGCAGCAGUGGGGAAUAUUGCACAAUGGGCGCAAGCCUGAUGCAGCGACGCCGCGUGAGGGAUGACGGCCUUCGGGCUGUAAACCUCUUUCAGCACCGACGAAGCGCAAGUGACGGUAGGUGCAGAAGAAGGACCGGCCAACUACGUGCCAGCCGCCGCGGUAA
This 478-nucleotide ribosomal RNA is filed under the name uncultured bacterium. Its description in RNAcentral is "partial 16S ribosomal RNA". It matches the Rfam family "Bacterial small subunit ribosomal RNA", at positions 28 to 523 of the family's 1533-position model. The record is from RNAcentral.